UGUCACCCUAUUCCCUUUCUAGUGCACUACUUUUAACCAGAGCCCUUUGGCUAAUGGCACCCUAUUCCCUUUCUAGUGCACUACUUUUAACCAGAGCCUAUAGGGUAGGAGUCCACUCUGUGAAAUAGGGUGCCUUUUGGAAUGCUGCCAGUGUGUUUCUAAACCAUCAAAGCUUGGGCUUGUCCCAAAUCACACCCUAUUUCCCCAGCUAGUGCACUACAUGGGGGGGGGGAGGGGCGUUAGGGUGUGGUUUGGGACUCCUGGUGGUUUAUAUGUAAAGGUAUAUAUUGUAAAGCUAGAUGGCGGAGUCCUGUGAGGGCUGUCAUCUUGUUUUCCAGGCAGUCCAGACAUCUUCUCCAGGAUACGCUUCAUGUCUAUUAUCCUGUUCAACUGCCUCUGGCUGUUUGUCCCAAAGGGCACCCUAUGUAGUGUGAUACGUUUGAACAGGGUUCAUAGAGUUCUGGUCAGAAGUAGUGCACUAUAUAGGGUAUAGUGUGCCCUUUGGGACAUACCUUCUUACUUAUGUCCAGCCCUAAUCCCCUACACCCUAGGUUGAACCCUAACCCCCUACACCCUAGGUUGAACCUAACCCCCUACACCCUAGGUUGAACCCUAACCCCUACACUCUAGGUUGAACCCCCUACACUCUAGGUUGAACCCCCUGCACUCUAGGUUGAACCCCCUACACUCUAGGUUGAAACCCCUACACUCUAGGUUGAACCCCCUACACUCUAGGUUAAAACCCCUACACUCUAGGUUGAACCCUAAACCCCUACACUCUAGGUUGAACCCUAACCCCCCUACACUCUAGGUUGAAACACCCUACACUCUAGGUUUAAACCCCCUACACGCUAGGUUUAAACCCCCUACACUCUAGGUUGAACCCUAACCCCCUACACUCUAGGUUCAACCCCCUACACUCUAGGUUUAAACCCCCUACACUCUAGGUUGAAACCCCUACACUCUAGGUUGAACCCUAACCCCCUACACUCUAGGCUUAAACCCUCUACACUCUAGGUUUAAUCCCCCUACACUCUAGGUUGAACCCUAACCCCCUACACUCUAGGUUGAAACACCCUACACUCUAGGUUGAAUCCCCUACACUCUAGGUUGAACCCCCUACACUCUAGGUUUAAACCCCCUACACUCUAGGUUGAACCCUAACCCCCUACACUCUAGGUUGAAACACCCUACACUCUAGGUUGAACCCCCUACACUCUAGGUUGAACGCUAACCCCCUAUACUCUAGGUUGAAUCCCCUACACUCUAGGUUGAACCCCCUACACCCUAGGUUGAACCCCCUACACCCUAGGUUGAACCCCCUACACCCUAGGUUGAACCCCCUACACCCUAGGUUGAACCCCCUACACCCUAGGUUGAACACCCUACACUCUAGGUUGAAGCCCCUACACUCUAGGUUGAACACCCUACACUCUAGAUUGAACCCUAACCCCCUACACUCUAGGUUGAACCCUAACCCCCUACACCCUAGGUUGAACCCUAACCCCCUACACCCUAGGUUGAACCCCCUACACUCUAGGUUGAACCCCCUACACUCUAGGUUGAACCCUAACCCCCUACACUCUAGGUUGAAACACCCUACACUCUAGGUUGAACCCUAACCCCUUACACUCUUGAUUUGGAGUGGGGGCUAGGGAUCGGUUUGGAAUUUGGAAACUGUCUGUCGAUCAUUAAUGUACUGCACCUCUCCCCAACUUCUCCCCUCAGACACCCAGGGCCUGUAUCUGUUUCACAUCAAAGCUGCUCCAUAGCAGAGCACAGAUCUGGGAUCAGUUUACCCCUAACCCUGUGAUGUAUCUCAAGUGACACCCUAUUCCCUAUAUAGUGCGCUACUUUUCCCCAGGUUUCAUAGGGCCGUGGUCAGAAGUAGUGCGCGAUAUAGGGAAUAAGGUGUCACUCUCCGGAGAGGAAACUGUCUUAGGAUCUGUUUUUUUUUAUUUUUUUACUCCAAGGUUCCUGGACUGUGUGUGUGUGUUCUAUGUACUAAGUUGUAUUUCUACAAUGAACUGAUCUACGGUGCGUGGAUCUAUGUAAAGCCAAAGAACAUUCGUAACCUGUCUGUGUCUGGACACUGUCUGUACAUCUGUCUCUGUCCAUACAGUUAGUUCCGUUGUGAAAUAUCUUGUUUUAUUGUGUAUCUGUCUGUAUGGAAGAAAUGAACUUAGUUAUCCCAAUUUCCCUCAAUAGUCCAGUCUAUAAUGUGGAGUUAAAUGUAUUGGGUUUUAAAUCAACUUCUGGAGAAACAGUGGCUGAAGGUGACUUGUACUCAGAUCUGGUCGAAGAGGGUAAAUACACAAUAGGAAUAUUUCAUCCCAAAAAAUCCAAGAUGGUGACCCACUCUAAAUCCAAGAUGGUGACCCACUCUAAAUCCAAGAUGGUGACCCACUCUAAAUUCAAGAUGGUGACCCACUCUAAAUUCAAGAUGGUGACCCACUCUAAAUCCAAGAUGGUCACCCACUCUAAAUCCAAGAUGGUGACCCACUCUAAAUCCAAGAUGGUGACCCACUCUAAAUCCAAGAUGGUGACCCACUCUAAAUCCAAGAUGGUGACCCACUCUAAAUUCAAGAUGGUGACCCACUCUAAAUCCAAGAUGGUGACCCACUCUAAAUCCAAGAUGGUGACCCACUCUAAAUCCAAGAUGGUGACCCACUCUAAAUCCAAGAUGGUGACCCACUCUAAAUCCGAGAUGGUGACCCACUCUAAAUCCAAGAUGGUGACACACUCUAAAUCCGAGAUGGUGACCCACUCGAAAUCCAAGAUGGUGACCCACUCUAAAUCCAAGAUGGUGACACACUCUAAAUCCGAGAUGGUGACCCACUCGAAAUCCAAGAUGGUGACCCACUCUAAAUUCAAGAUGGUGGUCCCACUCUAAAUCCAAGAUGGUGACCCACUCUAAAUUCAAGAUGGUGGUCCCACUAUCUCCCCCUCUGAAUUAUAACGUUUUAGAUGAGAAAAUGUUGUUUUUCUGUCCAAUAAAUCAGCAAGCAUGUUCUCAUUUUAUAUAAAAUAUAUUUUACGAUUAUACGUUGGAUUAUACCUGAUUUUAGUUGUAAACUACAUUGCCCCUUCUGAAUGGUAUUUAAUGCUGUGUUAUUGAAGGUAUUGGGGAGGGGGGGGGGGGGGGUGUAUCCUGGGUGUGUGCCUUUUUUAAUCCCAUCCUAACUUCAAUCACUGAUUGUCAUAACCUGUCAUUACAUGCAUUAGCCUCUAGGUGCUGUUGUUUUUUAAAUCACUGUCAUUUUCAUUUAUUAUUUUCAACCAACCAGCUCUUCACUAUGUAAAUAUGUACAUUGUCAUAUUUCCUAUGUUUUUAGUCGUCAACCCGCUGCCAGCCAGCCAGUCUCUUGAGGUUUAUAAACUACAGACGACACAGAUUGCUGGAUUCACUUGUACAGUUCUUUUUAAAAAAGGUACUUCGUCAAUAAAUACAUUGAAUAAAACAUGA
Oncorhynchus kisutch (coho salmon) is the source of this 3466-nucleotide RNA transcript. It is a transcript of the gene named serine/arginine-rich splicing factor 4-like, with no coding region annotated. Lineage: Eukaryota; Metazoa; Chordata; Actinopteri; Salmoniformes; Salmonidae. The transcript has 3 exons. The record is from RefSeq and is a predicted model, not a curated record.